GGGCAUGGCACUCACUUUCCAAAAGAUCAUGUGCAGCCUUUUGGAAAGUGGGCAUUGUGUCCAGAAAAAAGCAGUGAAGGCGAUAAAGACCUGAUUUUUAGCGGAACUGCUCCCUGCCCUGCCAAAUCAAUUUGAAUGUGGGCACCUACACUGGUUCGGCGCUUUGCUAAGGAGGCACCGAACCAGUUCGGGCACAUGCCUAUUUCUUACAUUGCUCUACAAGUGAGGGAUUUAGAUACCACAGAAUUCAGUCGAUUCUGAAAAGAUGCCCCAAUGGACACAGUGGAGACGUCUUUCUGAGUGGGCAUGCGUAGGAUUGUGCUGAAAUGUGCAGCUGGUUAGAUUUCUCAUAGUACCCCCCCAAAGCAGGGGUCGUCAACCUUGGCUCUCCAGCUGUUGCUGAACUACAACUCCCAUCAUCCCCAGUCACAAUUUGUUGAGCGCCAAAGUUGCCUGCCUCUGCCCCAAAGAAUGUUAGGAGAAAGUGCUGAGAAUUUGGUUGGAGGCCUCUCUUGGAGCUACAGUUCCUAGGAUUCCCUGAGGAGCAGUAAUUAUUAAAGGUUUGUCAAAUAUAGGUGGCCUUCACAUGUUCUGUCACAAGUCUGGUUUCUGGGGAGUGUGUGGCAGAUUCGUUGUCCGAAUCGACCCAAAGUCCAGUUCCAGAGCUGGGCGUUGUCCGAAUCGACCCAAAGUCCAGUUCCAGAGCUGGGCGUUGUCCGAAUCGACCCAAAGGUUCCGGUUCCAGAAUGCUGAUAUUCAUCCAACAUUUACAACCAACAUUUGAAGUCGGGUGGCGAAUGUCGGGCAUAUAUCCGCAAACCAGCUCGAGAACCGGACUUCAGCAGAUUAAUCAGACAACAUGUCUGCUACCUGGGAACUGGAUUUGUGGCAGAGCAGGUGAAGCCACCUCUUUAGACUACCCCUUGGCAAAAGGACAGUACCUCCAAAAGAGACUCCACAGCGGAACUCACGGGAUGAGAUAGGACUCCUGGGAAGGCCGUCUUUCAGACAGAAGGGCUGGCCUCACUGCCCUAAACAGGAGUUUGUUUUCUAACAUACCCAACAAGGCAUAUGCGGGAGAGUGCUCAAGAGCUAUGGGGUAAAUAUUUAAUUGCUCACUCAUCUGUGAUUAAAUCAAUGUUGUACUCUAAGUUGCCUUUGGCCUCUUCUUGUUUGUUUACUCUUGGUUAUAGCAGGGAUUCUCAAGUCUUGGGUCCCCAGAUGCUGUUGGACGACAACCAGCUGGCUAACUAAAACAGAAGGCUGAGCUGCAGGAUACCCUCCACGUCAAAAGCCAGCCACUGGCAGCCCGUGGGCCCAAUCCACCCCUCACUGACCAACCCAGAAGAGAAAGAAGCAGCAUCUGUGGAAAAGGGCUACAAGGACACCAUAGAUCAGGGCUGUACAAAGUGGGCUCAUCAGCUGUUUUUUUGGACUACAGCUCCCAUGAUCCGCAGCCACAGUGGCUAAUAGGAGGUUAAGGGAGCUGUAGGCCAACAUCUGUAGGAGGGUCCAAGUUGUGUCAAUCUGCCACACAGGGAUUAUGGGGGGUAGGAUGGGUGCUCUUGGUCAAUGAAUCCUUGCUUCCUUCUCAGAGCGGACUUCCGGAAAAGGUAGCUGCCGACCAUGGUCCUACAUCAAUUCAAACCGAAACCAAAGCAAAGAUUUUUCUGUCUCACCCUGUUCCUUUUACCAUCUUGUGUGCCAGCCUCAGACCUCAAGAAAAGGAGUUCUCUAUCGGAAGACAUAAACAGGAGGUCUCAGGCCCCGCUGAUCGCUGGGAUAGUGGACUUCGGAAAACUAAGCAUCCUACGGUGGAGAGACAAAGGGGUCACCUCACUUGUACGGCUUUAAGUCCUGAGGGAUCAGUGGUUCUGUAUCUUCGCCCGGGCUCUGUGAUGGUUGGAGUGCUGAUGCGGCAGAGGCCAGGCUGUGGAUGGUUUCUUGCUGGUGUCGCUUGGCUUUGUUAUAAAGGAGAACGCCGACAGUCACCAGGACGGUGCCGACAGCCGAGAGACUGGUGAUCUUGUUGCUGAAGACGAUAAUACUCAGCCAGAUGGACAGCGCAUGCUUCACGGUGCUGGCAACACUGGGAGGAAAACCGAGGAGGUUGAAGGAUAAGCAGGAAGAACAGGCAACAAUUCUUCAUAAAAAUGGCCCGCCCUACCACCUCAACGUCAACAAACCGGAACGGAAGUCGAGAAACUGGAAGUCGACAAAACCAGAACGGAGUCUAAAUUCUCUUGUUUGUUUUCAGCUAGAACCCUUAAAACCAGAAGUGGUGAAUCUGAGGUGCUUAGUUGGACUACAGCUCCCAUCACCCCCACUACCAUUUGUUACAGCAGGGGAUGAUAGGAAUUGUAGUCCAACUAUAGAGCCUCAGGUUGGCCAGCCCUGUUGGAUUACAACUCCCAUUAUCCCCAGCUUUAAAAAAACAACCAAAAAAUCAACCACCACCACAAACAUUUAUAUAUCAGCUUUCAACAGAAAUGAUCACUCAAUGAUAAUUAUUGAUAAUUAUGACAAUAAUGGUUUAAUUCAAUUUAGUGAGGCUGGGGGGUGAUGGGGUUUGUAGUCCAACAACAGCAGAAGAAACCCAAAGUGGCUACUCCUGUUGGACCACAGUUCUCAUAAUCCCAGCUGGAAUUUACUGCAGCAGGGGAUGAUGGGAGUUGUAGUUGAAUAAUAGCUGGAGAGGCUCACCACUGCCUUUAACAUGAAUUAGUAAUGGAUUCAAAAAUAAGCAGUUCCAUAAUCAGGCAACCAGCUUUCCAAAGAAGGAUUCUUUUUAACAAAAAUCCUGACAUAUGUAUUUUCUUUGUAAAAAAAUGUUAAACAACCCAUUUUUAAAGAAUAAUGUUCUUUAAAACCUCUCCUCAAGUUAAACAGUUAAACAUUGAACUCAUUUUAUGGAAUAACAUUGUAGGCAACAGAGUCUGUGUUUAUUUGGCAUGAAAUGUAUCCAAACCACUCCACGGACUUGGAAAAAGAAUAUUCUCCAAUUCGAAUGUUUUCCAAUUAUCCGAAGGGAUGAGAAUCAUCGAACCGGUUACCAAAUCACUUCUUAUAGCCGGUGGCUGACAUCCAGACUAAGCGACUCUAAAGUAUUACUCCAGAGUUACUCUAAAAGACUACUACAUUUCAAUAGGAAUACUCAGGAGUAAUUUAGUCUGCCUGUCAGCACAAAAUUACUUGCAUUACUCAAGUCAAUGGGCAGUAUACAGACGAAGCCAUGUCUAAGCACCACUGAAAUAAACAAGGCAAGUUAAUCAUGACUUAUUUUAAUUGUCAUUUUUAUAGUCUUGUUUUAAUUUUUGUGUUAACAGCCUUCAGAUUGUUUUAAUGAAAAGGUAGUAUUUAUUUUAUUUUAUUUAUUAGAAACUCUGGGCGGUGUACAAAAACAUGCAAAGCAAGACAACAUUAAAAUCACAUUCUAAAUUAAAAAACUAAAGUAACUAACAAAAAAGAAAAAACCAAAUAGGUAAACUACAGGGCAAAAGCCUGGCGAAAAAGCUGGUAUACAAAUUUAAUAAUAAAUAAAUAAAAUAAAAAUGACAAACGAGUCCCAUGAAUUCUGACGGGAUCUCAGUCACGGCAGACUUAGUCUGGAUCUUGCCAGGAUCCAAACUGCGGAGUUUUAAAAAAUAAACCUGGAUGGACCUCAACCGUAAUGAAAUGUGUAAUGGUUGUUUUGAAAUUUCUGAAUUUUCUUAUUAAUUGUUAAUAUGGUCUGUGACCGCAAUAAACUUACAACUACUACUGUAAUGGUUCAACUCCUCAUAUACAGUUUCAGAGGAAAUCUUCAGGGAGAUCUUGAAAAUAAAUAAAUCACACAUUUAUUUGAGAACAGA
Molecule: long non-coding RNA, 3851 nt
Organism: Hemicordylus capensis (graceful crag lizard)
Lineage: Eukaryota; Metazoa; Chordata; Lepidosauria; Squamata; Cordylidae
Exons: 2
Source: RefSeq, a predicted model, not a curated record